UACGGAGGGUGCGAGCGUUAUCCAGAAUUACUGGGUUUAAAGGGUGCGUAGGCGGCCCUGUAAGUCAGGAGUGAAAGUUUGCGGCUCAACCGUAAAAUUGCUUUUGAUACUGCGGGGCUAGAAUUAGGAUGAGGUCAGCGGAAUGUGGCAUGUAGCGGUGAAAUGCAUAGAUAUGCCAUAGAACACCAAUUGCGAAGGCAGCUGGCUAGACCUGGAUUGACGCUGAGGCACGAAAGCGUGGGGAGCGAACAGG
Molecule: ribosomal RNA, 253 nt
Filed under: uncultured bacterium
Lineage: Bacteria
Description: partial 16S ribosomal RNA
Rfam family: Bacterial small subunit ribosomal RNA
Source: RNAcentral